GACGAACGCUGGCGGCGUGCCUAAUACAUGCAAGUAGAACGCUGAAGCUUGGUGCUUGCACCGAGCGGAUGAGUUGCGCACGGGUGAGUAACGCGUAGGUAACCUGCCUGGUAGCGGGGGAUAACUAUUGGAAACGAUAGCUAAUACCGCAUAAGAGUAGAUGUUGCAUGACAUUUGCUUAAAAGGUGCAAUUGCAUCACUACCAGAUGGACCUGCGUUGUAUUAGCUAGUUGGUGAGGUAACGGCUCACCAAGGCAACGAUACAUAGCCGACCUGAGAGGGUGAUCGGCCACACUGGGACUGAGACACGGCCCAGACUCCUACGGGAGGCAGCAGUAGGGAAUCUUCGGCAAUGGACGGAAGCCUGACCGAGCAACGCCGCGUGAGUGAAGAAGGGUGUCGGAUCGUAAAGCUCGGUUGUAAGAGAAGAACGAGUGUGAGAGUGGAAAGUUCACACUGUGACGGUAUCUUAACAGAAAGGGACGGCUAACUACGUG
Molecule: ribosomal RNA, 497 nt
Filed under: uncultured bacterium
Lineage: Bacteria
Description: partial 16S ribosomal RNA
Rfam family: Bacterial small subunit ribosomal RNA
Source: RNAcentral